GCCGAGGUAGCUCAGUGAUGAGAGCGCUCAGCUAGCAAUCGAGAGGUCGGGGGGAUCGAUCCCUCUCUCGGCA
Cymbomonas tetramitiformis is the source of this 73-nucleotide non-coding RNA. The record is from the annotation of a GenBank genome assembly. Lineage: Eukaryota; Viridiplantae; Chlorophyta; Pyramimonadophyceae; Pyramimonadales; Pyramimonadaceae.